RNAcentral lists this ribosomal RNA (231 nucleotides) under uncultured Enterobacterales bacterium. Its description in RNAcentral is "partial 16S ribosomal RNA". It matches the Rfam family "Bacterial small subunit ribosomal RNA", at positions 99 to 334 of the family's 1533-position model. The record is from RNAcentral. Lineage: Bacteria; Pseudomonadati; Pseudomonadota; Gammaproteobacteria; Enterobacterales.
CGGACGGGUGAGUAAUGUCUGGGAAACUGCCUGAUGGAGGGGGAUAACUACUGGAAACGGUAGCUAAUACCGUAUAAUGUCGCAAGACCAAAGAGGGGACCUUCGGGCCUCUUGCCAUCAGAUGUGCCCAGAUGGGAUUAGCUUGUUGGUGGGGUAACGGCUCACCAAGGCGACGAUCCCUAGCUGGUCUGAGAGGAUGACCAGCCACACUGGAACUGAGACACGGUCCAG